GAUGCUGCCUGGAGUUAAAGGAGGCCAGGAGCACCAGAAGCUGGAGGAGGCCGGGGUGGAUUCUCGCCUGGAGGCUUCAGUGGGAGCACGAGCUCCCGACACUUCGGUUCCAUCUCUUGUUUAAAGGCACCCAGUUUCUCAUCAUUUGUUACAGCACCAUGGAAAACCCACACACAAGUGAAGCCCCGACCCACCUCCCAAGUGCCCAUCUGAGCACCCCUCGUGGACUCUGAGCAGGGGACACCAAAACCAACCUGAACUAGAAAUGCAAGAGAAAAAUGAAGCAAGUUGCCAUCACCAACUCCAAGUCUUGCAGCCCCUCUUCCCUUCAGUCUGGCUGCCACCUUCUUCAUUGCCCUGGAAAAAAAUAAUGAAGUUUCACCAUUUAAAGGGUUUCAGUGCAGCUUGCUAUGGGAACACUGGAGAGUAACACAAAUGGCCAAUUGUCCUAAUAGCCACCAUGGAUUGGAUGGAUGCUAACAACAGGCUCACAGUUCUCCUUCUGUUGCCUCCUUUUAUCCACAUGAGAAUCAAACAAGUAGGUGCUGCUGGUAUUACUGUAUUUUUCUCAUUUUAAAGAUCAGGAUGGGGAGGGUU
RNAcentral lists this long non-coding RNA (597 nucleotides) under Homo sapiens (human). RNAcentral describes it as "HSALNT0234009". Lineage: Eukaryota; Metazoa; Chordata; Mammalia; Primates; Hominidae. The record is from RNAcentral.